ACGGAAGGUCCAGGCGUUAUCCGGAUUUAUUGGGUUUAAAGGGAGCGUAGGCUGGAGAUUAAGUGUGUUGUGAAAUGUAGACGCUCAACGUCUGAAUUGCAGCGCAUACUGGUUUCCUUGAGUACGCACAACGUUGGCGGAAUUCGUCGUGUAGCGGUGAAAUGCUUAGAUAUGACGAAGAACUCCGAUUGCGAAGGCAGCUGACGGGAGCGCAACUGACGCUUAAGCUCGAAGGUGCGGGUAUCAAACAGGAUUAGAUACCCCAGU
RNAcentral lists this ribosomal RNA (267 nucleotides) under uncultured Prevotella sp. Its description in RNAcentral is "partial 16S ribosomal RNA". It matches the Rfam family "Bacterial small subunit ribosomal RNA", at positions 525 to 791 of the family's 1533-position model. The record is from RNAcentral. Lineage: Bacteria; Pseudomonadati; Bacteroidota; Bacteroidia; Bacteroidales; Prevotellaceae.